Thozetella sp. PMI_491 is the source of this 146-nucleotide non-coding RNA. NCBI's taxonomy places the organism in Eukaryota, Fungi, Ascomycota, Sordariomycetes, Chaetosphaeriales, Chaetosphaeriaceae. The record is from the annotation of a GenBank genome assembly.
GGUUGCGUGGUGUAAUGGGAACAUCCAGACUGUUUCUCUACGAGCCAGAUCAAGUGAUUAACCCCAAAGAGACUCAAGUGAACAACCUUGGAGGGUGAGGGCUGUAGCAAGCAGCUGAGUACCUGGUUCGAAUCCAGGCGCGGCCA